AUUGAACGCUGGCGGCAUGCCUUACACAUGCAAGUCGAACGGCAGCACGGGAGCAAUCCUGGUGGCGAGUGGCGAACGGGUGAGUAAUAUAUCGGAACGUGCCCAGUCGUGGGGGAUAACGUAGCGAAAGCUACGCUAAUACCGCAUACGAUCUAUGGAUGAAAGCGGGGGAUCGCAAGACCUCGCGCGAUUGGAGCGGCCGAUAUCAGAUUAGGUAGUUGGGGAGGUAAAGGCUCACCAAGCCGACGAUCUGUAGCUGGUCUGAGAGGACGACGAGCCCAACUGGGUAGUGGACACGGCCCAGACUCCUACGGGAGGCAGCAGUGGGGAAUUUUGGACAAUGGGCGCAAGCCUGAUCCAGCAAUGCCGCGUGCAGGAUGAAGGCCUUCGGGUUGUAAACUGCUUUUGUACGGAACGAAACGGCGAGCUCUAGUACAGUUUGCUAAUGACGGUACCGUAAGAAUAAGCACCGGCUAACUACGUGCCAGCAGCCGCCGUAA
This 500-nucleotide ribosomal RNA is filed under the name uncultured bacterium. RNAcentral's name for it is "partial 16S ribosomal RNA". It matches the Rfam family "Bacterial small subunit ribosomal RNA", at positions 30 to 523 of the family's 1533-position model. The record is from RNAcentral.